Molecule: transfer RNA, 92 nt
Filed under: Actinomycetes bacterium
Lineage: Bacteria; Bacillati; Actinomycetota; Actinomycetes
Also listed under: 2 other names
Description: Actinobacteria bacterium tRNA-Ser
Rfam family: tRNA
About the family: Transfer RNA (tRNA) molecules are approximately 80 nucleotides in length. Their secondary structure includes four short double-helical elements and three loops (D, anti-codon, and T loops).
Source: RNAcentral
GGAGAGGUGCCAGAGCGGCCGAAUGGGGCGCCCUGCUAAGGCGUUGAUCGCAGUGAUGUGGUCCGUGGGUUCAAAUCCCACCCUCUCCGCCA